AACGAGGUUUCCGUAGGUGACCUGCGGAAGGAUCAUUAU
This 39-nucleotide ribosomal RNA is filed under the name Lepiota brunneoincarnata. RNAcentral describes it as "partial 18S ribosomal RNA". Lineage: Eukaryota; Fungi; Basidiomycota; Agaricomycetes; Agaricales; Agaricaceae. The record is from RNAcentral.